AUAUAGGCGAUGGAGUUCGCCAUAACCGCCGUGAGGCUAAUGACUCCUACC
This 51-nucleotide non-coding RNA is filed under the name uncultured Paenibacillus sp. RNAcentral's name for it is "Fluoride riboswitch". It matches the Rfam family "Fluoride riboswitch aptamer (crcB RNA motif)", at positions 7 to 59 of the family's 64-position model. Lineage: Bacteria; Bacillati; Bacillota; Bacilli; Caryophanales; Paenibacillaceae. The record is from RNAcentral.